GAUGAACGCUGGCGGCGUGCCUAAUACAUGCAAGUCGAGCGAACAGACGAGGAGCUUGCUCCUCUGACGUUAGCGGCGGACGGGUGAGUAACACGUGGAUAACCUACCUAUAAGACUGGGAUAACUUCGGGAAACCGGAGCUAAUACCGGAUAAUAUAUUGAACCGCAUGGUUCAAUAGUGAAAGACGGUUUUGCUGUCACUUAUAGAUGGAUCCGCGCCGCAUUAGCUAGUUGGUAAGGUAACGGCUUACCAAGGCAACGAUGCGUAGCCGACCUGAGAGGGUGAUCGGCCACACUGGAACUGAGACACGGUCCAGACUCCUACGGGAGGCAGCAGUAGGGAAUCUUCCGCAAUGGGCGAAAGCUUGACGGAGCAACGCCGCGGGAGUGAUGAAGGUCUUCGGAUCGUAAAACUCUGUUAUUAGGGAAGAACAAAUGUGUAAGUAACGAUGCACGUCUGGACGGUACCUAAUCAGAAAGCCACGGCGAACUACGU
Molecule: ribosomal RNA, 496 nt
Filed under: uncultured bacterium
Lineage: Bacteria
Description: partial 16S ribosomal RNA
Rfam family: Bacterial small subunit ribosomal RNA
Source: RNAcentral